This 99-nucleotide microRNA precursor is filed under the name Chlorocebus sabaeus (green monkey). Its description in RNAcentral is "miRNA (ENSCSAG00000026183.1)". Lineage: Eukaryota; Metazoa; Chordata; Mammalia; Primates; Cercopithecidae. The record is from RNAcentral.
CGCCCGCCUCAGCCUCCCAAAGUGCUGGGAUUACAGGCAUGAGCCACAGGACCCGACCAGGAUAAUGUAUCUUUCUUUUCAGUAAUGUCCCUUUCGAAG